RNAcentral lists this ribosomal RNA (301 nucleotides) under uncultured bacterium. RNAcentral's name for it is "partial 16S ribosomal RNA". It matches the Rfam family "Archaeal small subunit ribosomal RNA", at positions 459 to 759 of the family's 1478-position model. The record is from RNAcentral.
CAGUAGCCACGGGAAUACCAGCAGCCCAAGUGGUGGUCGCGUUUAUUGGGCCUAAAGCGCUCGUAGCCUGACCGGUAAGUUCCCCGUGAAAUCGGGUCGCCCAACGAUUCGGCUUGCGGGGAAUACUGUCGGUCUUGGGGCCGGGAGACGCCGAGGGUACUCCGGGGGUAGCGGUGAAAUGCUGUAAUCCUCGGGGGACUACCAGUGGCGAAGGCGCUCGGCGAUAACGGGCCUGACGGUGAGGGGCGAAAGCUGGGGGCGCGAACGGGAUUAGAGACCCCGGUAGUCCCUGUCUCUUAUA